GAUGAAGAACGUAGUGAAAUGCGAUACUUGGUGUGAAUUGCAGAAUCCCGUGAACCAUCGAGUCUUUGAACGCAAGUUGCGCCCGAAGCCAUUAGGCCGAGGGCACGCCUGCCUGGGCGUCACACGUCGUUGCCCCCCCAUCUACUCCUUCGGGAUUGCGGGGGGCGGAUGAUGGCCUCCCGUGCGCCUCGUCGCGCGGUUGGCAUAAAUGCCAAGUCCUCGGCGACGCACGCCACGACAAUCGGUGGUUGCGAAACCUCGGUUGCCCGUCGUGUGCGGUCGUCGCGCAUCGAGGGCUCGAAAAAAUUGUCGGGCUCCGGCUCGGCUUUCAACGCGACCCCAGGUCAGGCGGGGCUACCCGCUGAAUUUAAGCAUAUCAAUAAGCGGAGGA
Molecule: unclassified non-coding RNA, 391 nt
Filed under: soil metagenome
Description: partial contains 5.8S ribosomal RNA, internal transcribed spacer 2, and large subunit ribosomal RNA
Rfam family: 5.8S ribosomal RNA (bases 1-122)
Source: RNAcentral